UACGGAGGGUGCGAGCGUUGUCCGGAAUCACUGGGCGUAAAGGGCGCGUAGGCGGCUUGAUAAGUAGGGGGUGAAAUCCUGCGGCUUAACCGCAGGGCUGCCUUCUAAACUGUCAGGCUCGAGCACAGUAGAGGCAGGUGGAAUUCCCGGUGUAGCGGUGGAAUGCGUAGAGAUCGGGAAGAACAUCAGUGGCGAAGGCGGCCUGCUGGGCUGUUGCUGACGCUGAGGCGCGACAGCGUGAGGAGCAAACAGG
RNAcentral lists this ribosomal RNA (253 nucleotides) under uncultured bacterium. RNAcentral's name for it is "partial 16S ribosomal RNA". It matches the Rfam family "Bacterial small subunit ribosomal RNA", at positions 524 to 776 of the family's 1533-position model. The record is from RNAcentral.